UUAAUUGAAACCAAAUUAGAGGUAACUUAUUGUUAAUAAGAAAAAUGAAUAAAAUUCCGAUUAAA
This 65-nucleotide transfer RNA is filed under the name Chudania hellerina. RNAcentral describes it as "tRNA-Asn". Lineage: Eukaryota; Metazoa; Arthropoda; Insecta; Hemiptera; Cicadellidae. The record is from RNAcentral.